Lepisosteus oculatus (spotted gar) is the source of this 5841-nucleotide long non-coding RNA. RefSeq lists it as uncharacterized. The record is from RefSeq and is a predicted model, not a curated record. NCBI's taxonomy places the organism in Eukaryota, Metazoa, Chordata, Actinopteri, Semionotiformes, Lepisosteidae.
CUGACAAUGGAACAGAAUUGCUGCUUGCUCAAUUAGUUAGACUAUAGAACAUAUUUCAAUCUGACUCCCAAAAUGUGAAGGAAUAUCUGUCACAUAUGUUGCUAGAGGCUUUAGGAAGGGGAAGAGUCCAAGCCGACACUGAUCAGUUGGAUGCCAACUGAAAAACGGAGGAGACAUGGGAGGGGAAACCCAUUGCUGUAACUGCCUAGUCCUGCUGUAGGGGCAGUUUGGGAGUGAACGAGGAAGCCCGGAUCUGGUGCAGAAUGAUGCUGUCUGUUGACACCUAUGGGGCAAAAUGGGAGUCAAUGACCAGGGGAUCCUAUUGUGGACAACAACAAGAAGAAUGGGAGAGAGGAGAAGAGAUGAAAAAACAGAUGUAGGCUGGGUCCUGAGGUGUGCCUGUUCUCAGGAUCCCACCUAGAAGCUGUGCCCCUUUUGUGAACCACCCCAUGUGGCAUCUCACAGCAUGGAAUAAACCUAUUACAUGCUGACACAGCUACACAUCUGAACUAAGAUUGAUAUUUUGUUUGUGGAACUUGUACUAUUAUUUGCAAGCCCACGUAAAAUGUCUUUGAAAUGUGUUUCAAAUGCAGUCCAAAGCCUGUGUAAAGUGUUAAAAUUUUAGAAUAAGUAGUACAAUAGUUGAUGAUUUUCAACUUUUUUUGACUCCAUAGUCAAUUUUCUACUGAUUUUGGGGAAGUAAAACUGUAAAAGUAAAAAUCUAGUAAGAGAUAAUAUAAAGAAAAAAGAAAACUAAUAUGUUGCUUAUCUUACCAAUGUUUUGGUAUUGUCAUGGGAUUUGAAUAAUAAAGGAGAUGAGCAUUUAAGUGCUAAGGCCUGUAUCAGCAGUGUUUACAUUUUUGAGAGGCAUGACAACCUACCCUUGUAAAACAGCCAUAUAGAGAAAAAAUCUUUUUUUUUCUGGAAAUUUGAUGAUAAGUUAGUGUAUCCUUCGUAAGUUUGAAUUUUGACUAUGCCAUCCUCUACUUGAGACUGUGAGAUGCAGUGGUCAGCCCAUCCAUGGUUUCUUUCUGCACAGCAGUGACCCCUGUAGCUUGUCUGGUUCCUUGUAUGUUAACAGUAAGUAUAGGUUGUCCAGAUGUCUUCAGUGCUGCUACAACAGUUGAGAAUGUGAGCUGAACCCAUUCAGCUCUUGAUUCAACAAUUUAAUGACUCAUGAUAAUGAAACUUCUAAAAGUUAUUGCUAAUUGUGCAGAUCAGCCAAUUCUUAAGCUUUGUAUCUGUCAUACCAUUUAUAUUUUAUUUUCUAGGGAAAGCAAAUGGCUUAAUCUUUUUACAAUCAAGUUUUCCUGAGAGAUAUUAAGCAUUUGUAAAGUUGAAGCUUACCUUGGUCUGUUUUAAAUUUGAGUUGUUUUCAUUUCUUAAGCUAGAGUCAAGAAUUCAGUUUAAAUGCAUCAUUUACAGGAGUGACUAAAAUGAUCAUUUUUAGGGGAUAUUUUAUGAUUUGCCAUUAAUUAAUAAUUUUAUAAGCUCAUCCUUGUGAACAAUUUAUUUGGGCAGCUUGAUGGCAUCUUAAAAUGUAAUACUAAACUGCAAUUUAAAUGGAAAUGUCCAGGGUCCUACAUGUCCUUACACUCAUCAAAUAACUCUUCUUCAAUAAUCCAUGCACUGGUAUAUAAGGACUUUAUAUAUUUAUUCAUAUGGAAAUUCUAAAGAUAUACAGUAGAAAUGGGAAUGUUUAGGAGCACUAGUAGACAUACUGUAUCUGAUAGUCAAAGGCCACAAGGCCAGAGUUCUUUCAACCCUAGCUGUUAAUUAAGUGAUCUAAUUGUUUUCUAACUUUCCUUCCAGGUUUGAAGGAUAUGGUAUUUUAAGAACAACUACAACCCUUGGUGAAAACAUGGUGCCCCCCCAAGACUAGGAUUACCAGCCACUGUUUUAGACUCAUAGAAACAGAUAGUUAUGAGAUAAUGCUCUUCCUUAAUUUUUCUUAAUUCUUAAUUUAAUAUUCUUAAUUAAAUUCAGUAAUGUUUUAGAAUUGUUACAAUUUCAGCCAUAUAUGAAGAGAGCAUUUCACAAAUCCAAAAACACUAGAUCUCACUGUUACAAUCUUAUCACGUACGCUAACAAAAAGGUUAACCCAUCAAGUCAAUGCCACACUCCUAGACAGUUACAGGACAAAAAGUUACAGCAUUGCCUAAAGAUUCCUUUAAUUGAAGUCAAGGCAGCGAGGAAAGCAAUAAAUUAGUUCUGUUGCCUGUAUUUUGAUAAAACAGCAAUUUCCUCAGCUGAAUUGUGAUGAAGUGGCACUAUUGAUAUCGGCAACAAAACGCACCAAAAAAACAUUCUGUUGCAGGUUGCGCUUUCAAGGGGGAGUGAUCUAUGUGGAGUACACAUGAGUCCACAAAGCCUCUGAAAGGGCCACCAUGGCAGCCAGCGAGGCGCUCGGACUUCAAGGAGCCUUCUUCAAAGCCUUCCAAUGUAUUUGAAAAUACACGGCAUUCAGGCUCAGCGGAUUUCCCUUUUGUCUCCAGUCAUCAGAAGCGAGUGACAUCUUGAACGCCUCAAGAAGAUUAAAUAGCAAAGCUCAGUCGGAAGCUAAGAGAGAAAAAGGAAAGGGUCGGCCAUUAUGGAGCAGGUCCUUUCUUGUCAGUGAAAGAGCAUUCAAGGAGGGCUAUUGGGAGAAGAAGGCGUAGAUAAAGCACACAAUGAUGGGGAGAAAGGGAGAACUCUGAGUGGAACCAGAGGGAGGAGGGCAGCACUGAAUGGGGAUUAGUGCAGCUUCAUGGCAAGAAAAGGGGAAUCUUAGUUGAGAUGAAAAUGAGGAAUCACUACUCUGGUCAUUCGGUUCACUAAGCAGUAACAAAGCAUGAUGGGAGGUACUUGACAUAACACUCUUCCAGGCCAUGUUUAGCCCCAUUGCAGGGCAAGGAAAAACAUAUUUUAACUUAUUAAACAUUUAAGGGGAAGUAACCAUGUGGAUUGUUUUUAAGUAGUCUAAAGGAAACAUAGAAGAAAUCCACAUCUACUGUAGUAAUGUCUUCAAAACAUAAAUACUGCAUACUGUAGACUACAAGAAGUGGUACUGUACCAUUGUUAAGAAUUUGUUAUUAAAAGUUAGAAAAGGGAAUUUAUUAAGAAAAAAUCUGAAUAAGUUUCAUAAUUGAUUUGCUGUUGCUUAGUGAAAAGUAAAAGAAAAGGUGUUGCUGAAUGACACCUUGUGAAACCUUAGCUUUGUGAUAAAUUAAAAUAUUAUGUACUGUAUUCCCAAGAUGAAACCUAGAAAUUGUUCACACAGUAGUACUGCUUUUGCCUGGAAACAGAACACUCAUUAUGAUAUGCAAUAAAUGUUAAAAUGUGAACUUAAACUUUACUCUUAAAGGUAUUAAAUAAACUCAUUAACAGUAUAUUGAAAUCCUGCAUUUAAAUAUGUGAUCCUCAAACGACUGUUUCCAAAAUUUGCAUUUGACAUUUCAAUGUUAUGUCACAGGAGAAACAUAUUUGCUUUUCCUGAGCAAGAACACAUCAUGGCACAUGACCUUGAUGUUCAACAGCAGAGCAUACAAAGUUUUAUUUCAGUCCAUCUAUUUCUGUAUAAAGACCAGUACUCCCUUGUUGCUUGCUUUAUUUCUUUCUUUAAUCUACACAGAUGUGUGAUUAUAUUGGUAACAUUUAUUUAAUAUCAAAUAAAUAGUGUUGUAUCAAAGUUUUGACAUACUUAAGUGUAAUUAACAAUUUGAAAAUCCUGCAGAAUGUCUGUGUUUACCAAAUAACUUGUGAUGAAAUCCAAUUGCAAUAUAGUGUGUACUUAAUGAAAAGCCUAUUGAGACAGAGUAAGACUGGACUUCCUUCCAAGAAAACCGUACAUACUUUGAUAACAUAGUUGCUUUCCUCUGCUAUUUUUCUCUUUUUCAGUGAGCCAAAUAUAUUGUGAGUUACAUACCCUUAAUUGCUUAUUAUUGCACAUAUCUGUUGCCACUUAAGAGAUACAAAAUUAUUUUGAUUUAUCCAUAAUUUACUGGUAGUCAUAAUAGUCAUUUUUCAAACAGUUAGUAAUAAAUAUACUGUAGAUAAAAACAGAAGAUUAUAAACAAACAAAUAUCAUUACAAAUAGAGCCAGCUUUAAGUUCUUGUAUUUUUAUAUCUAGUACUUGAGGGAACAGAACAACAAGGAAAACGAACCUGGGGUGUGAUGAAGGAACAUUUUUUAAUCCAGGGUGGAGCCAGGAGAGGUUCAAUCAUUGGCUAAAUGAGAGAGUCUCAUAUUGAAUUACCUGGUUGGGAGAUGUUUUCCAAAAAUUUUAAAUAUUUGUCUGAAGAGCAAUAUGUUUAUAUGUCUUUCAGGAAGCUGGACAUUUCCCUAAAACACCCCAAAAAUUGAAGGCUUCUGUGGUUUCUUGUAAGAAGAGAAAUGAUGUACUCCUCAAUUUGAGUGCUUUAUGCAUCAUUCAGGAUUCAUGAUCUUGGAUCAAGCCUUAUGUUGCACCAUAAAUAUGGUUUGUUUCACAGAAAAUAAAUCUCAAUCUUGAUUUAAAUACAUCUAAAGAAAUCAAAGUGUUCUCUAUUGUGCUAUAUAAUCAACAUAUUAAUCACAUGCAUAGCUUUGUCUUUUCAGAAGAAAAAUAAUUUUAAAAUGUUUACGUUUAUUAAGAUGGGACUACAAAGUUUAUAAUGAACGUUAUAUGAGGUUUUCAGAAGCUGAUUUUUUUACCCCCAUUUGGCGUAAUGGCUUGUGAACUUAGGAAUGGCAUUAUGGAAAUGAUCUUUCAUUGUGCAUUUGAAUAGAACAUCCCCCUUAUUUAUGCCCUGCUAACCUCCCAUACAAAGCAUAGUGGCUAGAUUUAUUAUUCUUAUACUACAAGCCGCUCAUUAAACUACUGCAUAUAUUAAACCAAUAAAGCCAAUUAAGUACAAACUAUGAAUGUGUUUAUUUAUUAUUAGUCUCAUUGACAUUAUGGAAUUUGAGUGAUCAUGUCUUCUAAAAAAUGCUUCAGAUAAAGCUUGCACCUUAAUCGGUCUCCUUCAAAUGUAGUUUAAGCAGAAGUCUAAAGGAACUCUUCCCUAUUCAAAAUAUAAUUAUCACUGAACACAGAAAUUUAAACUGCACCAGACAAAACACAUACUCGACAACCAAUUUGAAGAAAUACACAAAGGUAGGGAUAAGGCUAGGUUUAUUAAUUGUUAAAUUUGAAUGGUCUCUGCUUCCACAUCAUUUAAUGGCCACCCAAAGGUUUACCCAGCCUCCUUCAACCCCCCACCAACCUCCUUACACAGCACCCCACCAACAUGAAACAUAAUUUGUCAAAUUUCCAUGUUGUCCCAGAAUAACCACCUGGAGAAUAAUAUGAAAUGUCAACUGUUAUAUCAGUCUUCUGGCAUGUGAAGCAGCAACUUGCUUGUCAAAGUGCAGUCAGCUGAAACAAAGUUAACAUGAUUGUCUCAUUCAUUAAGAAUAUGAUAAACUAUAUGAAGUAAAGAAUGAAUAUCUAUCUAAAUGAUGAUGUAUGUAUUUUUAUCACAAUUUAAAGGGCAAACUUUUAGCUAUAGUGGAUGGUUGUGAUUGUUAUUCUCUGGAAGAGAGAGAAAGUUACAUGAAUUCUUUUUUAGGGGUGGCAUUGGGUGUGUGUAAAAAUAUUAAUUUAAAUAAAAUUGGUUUCUUGGGUAUGUAUUAUUACAGUUUUAAGACUAAAUGUAUCAUAAUCUGUAAAUGUUUGUAAAUAGAUAGGUAUUAUUGAUGCAACAGAGAAAAUAUUAUUACUGUAAAUGUGACUGUUUAUUUUAAAAAGUCAGUAUUUAAAAAUAUAGUAUUUAAAGACAGUGAGAGAUAUGAAACUGUGAGCUGACAAAGAAUAUCUACCAUAUUUGAUAUUGAUAUUUUAU